UACGUAGGGGGCUAGCGUUGUCCGGAUUUAUUGGGCGUAAAGAGCGUGUAGGCGGCCAUGUAGGUCCGGUGUGAAAACUCGAGGCUUAACCUCGAGAUGUCAUCGGAAACCAUCUGGCUAGAGUCCGGGAGAGGAGAGUGGAAUUCCUGGUGUAGCGGUGAAAUGCGCAGAUAUCAGGAGGAACACCAAUGGCGAAGGCAGCUCGCUGGGACGGUACUGACGCUGAGGCGCGAAAGCGUGGGGAGCAAACAGG
Molecule: ribosomal RNA, 253 nt
Filed under: uncultured bacterium
Lineage: Bacteria
Description: partial 16S ribosomal RNA
Rfam family: Bacterial small subunit ribosomal RNA
Source: RNAcentral